CACCUCCCGAGCAGAAAAAAAGAGAAGAAGAAGAGAAUUUAAGAAUUUAAGUCUUGCCUUCUCAUUCAUAAAUCCCUCUACAUAUAUAACAUGAAGGAGGUUACACCCUCUUGCUUCACAAUAGGACAGCUGUCAAUUAGUUGAAACAGAAUAACUAAAAUGGAAAUGCUAAGCGACUGCAAUCAUUUAUUAAUACUGAUAUUCCUUUAGCCACAUGGGUGGUUUACGUGUCCUCUUGACUGACACGUAUCCUUCUUGAGCUGUUGGUGUGGCCGUUGUUCCCGUAUCAUCCCCCAACCCUUCAGACUUGACAUUGUCCUCAAGGUCAAAAUUUGGGUAUAGGACUUUGAACUCAUCAAGAGGAAUCCAAGAAGCAUCUUCAAGUAGCAAACCAUCCCAUUGCACUAGUAGCUGGAGCUGUAUGUUUUCCCCAUCAUGCACAUGUCUUGUUCGAAGAAUAGCAAUGGGUUCAAUGACUGGAUGGUUGUCAAUCGUUGUAGAGGGCAGGGGAGCAACAUGGAGGUUGGUGUCUUGUUUGUAUGGUUUCAAAACUGAUACAUGGAACACGGGAUGCAGCCUUGCAUGUUCUGGUAGCUGGACUCUAUACGCCACUGCACCUACUUGAGCUUCAAUCAUAAAUGGUCCAUAGAAUCUUUUACUUAGUUUGGUGAAAGGUUGUUGAGCUAGUGUAGUUUGCCUGUAUGGUUGCAAUUUUAUUAACACUAAAUCACCAAUCUGAAAGUGUUGUUCGCGUCGGUGUUUGUCGGCACAUUGUUUCAUACGGUUCUGAGCAUGCUGCAAAUGAAUCUUCAGUUCUCUUAGCAAUUGAUCUCUCUUUUGCAGUGUCUCCUCCACGGCUUCUACAACAGUGUUUGGGCGCAAACCUGGCAGUAGAGCAGGUAGGGGGCGACCAUAAACCACCUGGAAUGGUGUGGUCUUGAUUGAGGAGUGAUAUGCCGUAUUGUAGGAGUACUCGGCCCAAGACAAAUACUUGUACCAAUGUGUGGGGUGAUCAAAAGUGAAGCUGCGAAGAUAUUGUUCAAGACCUCUGUUGGUAACCUCUGUUUGACCAUCCGUCUGUGGGUGGUAGGCGCUGCUGUACAGCAACUUAGUUGAAGGGUCUCGGUCACUGAUUAUCGUUGAAGGGAUGCCGUGUAAUUUGCAAACAUUCUGAACAAAAACUUCUGCUACUUUUGUGGCAGUAAAACCAGUUGGGAGGGCAGCAAAGUGAGCAUACUUGGACAACCGAUCGACGACUACCAAUAUGGCAGUAAAGCUAUGUGACAAAGGGAGCCCUACUAUGAAGUCCAUAGAGAGGUCUUCCCAUAUUUUGCUCGGAAUCUCGAGUGGUUGCAAGGUACCUGCAGGAGCUAAUGUCUCAUACUUCGUUUGUUGGCACACUGGACAAGUCUGGACAUAAUGCUUAAUAUCUUCCGCAUACGUGGCCAUUCAAAUUGUGACUGCACCCUAGCUGUAGUUCGAAAAAUGCCAUUAUGUCCCCCAAGUGGUGUAUCAUGUAGUUCUCGAAUGAUUUCCGUCUUGUGAUUGGAAUCCGAGCUUAUAACAAUUCUACCUUUAUGCCAAAUCAACCCUUGGUGUACCUGAUGAUGGGGAAAUUUUGUUCCAUCCUGAAUAAUAGCUUGUUGAAGUUGAACGAGGUCUGGCAACAAAGUAGUCUCAUGCUUCAAUUUUUCCAAGAGCAAACUCGUUUGAUGUGUCAGUGUUGACAAUGUAGGCGACCCUUCAAAAUUAGCAUCCUCAUCAUCUUUUCGGGACAGCGCAUCAGCUACACGGUUACUGAUUCCAGGGUUAUAAAGAAUUUCGAAGUUAAACCCCAGUAGUUUAACUAAGAAUCUUUGUUGCUCCGGUGUUUGGAUGGUUUGUGUCAUCAAUUCUCGAAUGCUCUUUUGAUCCGUUUUGAUGAAAAACUUCCUGCCCAAUAGAUAUUGUCUCCAUUUAGCCACGGCUUCCGUAAUCGCAUACAACUCUCGUACAUAUGUGGAAGCCUGUUGCAUUUUGGAAUUCAGUUUUUUGCUAUAAUAUGCUAUGGGAUGCAAAUCUUGGAUUAGUACAACUCCAAUUCCCACUCCUGAUGCAUCUGUUUCGAUGGUAAAUGACUGCUCGAAAUCUGGUAAUGCGAGGACUGGGGCUUGAGUCAUGGCUGUCUUUAAUAGUUGAAAGGCCUAAUCCGCUGCUGGUGACCACUUAAAGGUAUCUUUCUGGAGCAGAGAAGUAAGUGGACCAACUAUGGUUGCAUAAUUCUUCACAAAACGUCGGUAAUAGCCGGUGAGACCAAGGAAACUUCGAAGCUGUCUAAUAUUAGUCGGAGUAUCCCACUGCAGAAUGGACUGACCCUGGCUGACACAAUAUGACCCAAAUAUUCAACUUGCUUUUGAGCAAACUGACAUUUACUCAUUUUCACAUACCAACGGUGGUCUCGCAAGCACUCCAGAACUAGUUGCAGAUGCUCGACAUGAUCCGAUAGAGUUUUGCUAUACACUAAGAUAUCAUCAAAGAAGACGAUCACAAACUUCCUGAGAAAUGGCUUCAGCAGGGCAUUCAUAGCCGAUUGAAAAGUUGAAGGCGCAUUUGUAAGACCAAAAGGCAUCACAACAAAUUCAUAGUGACCUUCAUGAGUUCUAAAGGCCGUCUUGUGGUUGUCUUUAGGGUCCAUUCGUAUCUGAUGGUACCCUGCACGUAGGUCUAUCUUGGAGAACACAGUGGCCCCAAAAAGUUCAUCUAAUAGUUCAUCAACUGUGGGAAUAGGAAACUUGUCUGGAAUGGUAAUUUGAUUGAGAGCUCUAUAAUCCACGCAAAACCUCCAUGCUCCGUCUUUCUUUUUAACCAACAACACAGGAGAAGAGUAAGGACUUUUACUUGGUCUAAUCACUCCUGAUGUUAACAUUUCUGAGACGAGUUUCUCUAUUUCAGUCUUUUGGAAAUGUGGGUACCUGUAGGGACGAACACUGACUGGAUUUGCUCCUGGUACAAUGUGAAUUUGAUGGUCAUGGUCCCGUUGAGGUGGUAGCUCCCUUGGUGGUUCAAAGAUGGUCCGAUUUCUGGAUAUAACUUCCUGAAUUUCAUCAGCUAAUUCGGGCAGCCCUCCUGCUAAUGCCUCACCCAUUUGGCUUGUCGCUGUUAAUUGAUAACAAGAAGCUAUGGCAUCAGUUGCAAUCAAUCUCCUCAAUUGAUUAAAAUGAAUUGCUGUAGGCGCAAGCAGUGGAUCUCCUUGAAGCUCUAUGUGCUGUCCUUUCCAGUGAAACGACAUGGUCAGUGCUUUAUAAUCCAUCAUUACUGGUCCCAAAAGUUCCAACCAUUGUACCCCGAGUACUAUAUCUACCCCCUGUAUCGGUAAAACAUGGAAAUCUACCAAAAACAAGUGUUGUUGAAUCUCCACUGGGACGUGUGGACAAUGCCCGGUGCAAGCCAUGGACUCCCCAUUCCCAACCAACACAGAGAAGUGUUUAGUAGGAAGGAUUGGGGAUCUCAAGUGUUGUACCAGCCUUUCCUGAAUAAAAUUGUGAGUGGACCCUCCAUCAAUCAGAAUCUGAACUUCUUUCCCUUUGAUUUUUCCCUUGAAUCGCAGCGUGUGAGGAAAAUGUUGUCCUGCCAUAGCAUGGAAACUAAUAGCAGGAGGUAUUUCAUCAUUCAUCUCUUCAUUUUCCUGGGAACCUUCCAAUUGCAGGCACUGAUUUUCCUCCAAAUCCUCGGUGUCCUCUAGCAUCAACACAAAGAGUUUGGCCUUACAUUUAUGUCCCUUCCCGAACUUUUCGUCACAGUUAAAACAAAGCCCCUUCUCCCUACGUUCCAUCAUCUCUGCUGCUGUUAGUUUUUUAACAGGUAUACUAGAACUCUUGACAUUAAUCAAAGCAUUAUUUGGAGUCAUCUUUGGAGUCGGUAAUAGGGGUGGUACUGGAGAGGGUUUAAUAGUGGGGACUAGGACUGGUCGACUAGGCCAACUUCUUGCACCAGUGUCCUAGAGUUUGUCUUCCAUAAGUUUAGCUAGAUUCACAGCUUGCAUAAAGGAGUGAGGUUGCAGGGCACGAACCUCUCUACGGAUAUCAUUGCGCAAUCCCGAUUCAAAGCAGCUUUGAAGGAAAGACUCAGGGACUCCAGUUGUUUGGUUGGCUAAGGCUUCAAAUCUAGACUGAUAAUCUGCUACACUGGUUGUUUGAGUCAGCUUGGCAAGCUCACCUUGGAUGUCCCUAUACUCCGAAGGACCAAAUCGAACCAAGAGGGCCUUGAGAAAUUCCUGCCAUGUUGGGAGUAGAUUAUUACGAUGCAUCCAUUGGUACCAAUGCAAGGCGUCCCCAUCCAUAUGAAAUGACGAUAUCACUAAACGCUGAUGAUUUGGGGUUUCAUGGUAAUCAAAAAACUGUUCGGCCUUAAAAAUCCAUCCAUGAGGAUCCUCCCCAUUGAAACGAGGGACAUCAAGCUUCAGAGUCCUUAGGGGGUUUGCGGCGUUGACGUCACCUACGACAGCGUUUUCAGGUCGAGCACCUGAAGGUAAAGAUGAUCCCGACACCUCAACAAUAGGAUUUCUCAAACUCUGUUCUAAACGACCUUCGACGGAGGUCAAUUUCAAGCUGAUUUCCUUCAAAAUGUUCCCAAAUGAGUUAAACUGUUCAUCAUGGGUAGAAAGACGGUUCAGGCAAUCCUCCAGCGCCUGUGUUACAUAUGCCCUAGUCUGGUCUGCCAUUACCUCCACUCUCAACGAGAGCACCAAAAUGAUACGAAUAAUUGCACAAUUCGAGGUUGUGCACCUCCUGAGCAGAAAAAAAGAGAAGAAGAAGAGAAUUUAAGAAUUUAAGUCUUGCCUUCUCAUUCAUAAAUCCCUCUACAUAUAUAACGUGAAGGAGGUUACACCCUCUUGCUUCACAAUAGGACAGCUGUCAAUUAGUUGAAACAGAAUAACUAAAAUGGAAAUGCUAAGCUACUGCAAUCAUUUAUUAAUACUGAUAUUCCUUCAGCCACAUGGGUGGUUUACGUGUCCUCUUGACUGACACGUAUCCUUCUUGAGCUGUUGGUGUGGCCGGUGUUCCCGUAUCAUCAUGAG
This 5056-nucleotide long non-coding RNA is filed under the name Olea europaea subsp. europaea. The record is from RNAcentral. Lineage: Eukaryota; Viridiplantae; Streptophyta; Magnoliopsida; Lamiales; Oleaceae.